Non-coding RNA from Chlorocebus sabaeus (green monkey), 719 nucleotides. The record is from RefSeq and is a predicted model, not a curated record. Lineage: Eukaryota; Metazoa; Chordata; Mammalia; Primates; Cercopithecidae.
AAAGGCAACAUACAGUAUAGGAGAAAAUAUUUACAAAUCAUAUAUCUGAUAAGGGGUUUAUGUGCAGAAUGUAUAAAGAAUACCAAAAUGGCGGUGUUCGGGUAUGAGGCGGGGGCUAAGCUGAGGGAUUCAGGUGUGGUGCGGGUGGGAAUUGAGGAAGCGCCCAAGGAUGUCAAGAUGACAGCAUCUAUGCAUGGUCAACCUAGUCCUUCUCUAGAAGAUGCAAAACUCAGAAGACCAGUGAUCAUAUAAAUCAUAGAAAAAAAUUUUGAGUACCUUAGAAAAGAAAUGACACCAAAUAUAUAUCAAACGGCAUCAUUUGGGACAACAACUGGUUUCUCUGGAAUAUUCUCAAACUUCCUGUUCAGACGCUGCUUCAAGAUAAUAUAAGCAAGGAAAACUGUGUUUUCAGAAGCUCACUGAUUGGCAUAGUUUGUGGUGGUUUCUACCCCAGUUCUUUGGCGUUUACUAAAAAUGGACAUCUGGCAACCAAGUAUCAUACCGUUCCACUGCCACCAAAAGGAAGGGUUUUACUCCAUUGGAUGAUGCUUUGUCAAACGCAAAUGAAAUUAAUGGCGAUUCCUCUAGUCUUUCAGAUCAUGUUUGGAAUAUUAAAUGGUCUACACCAUUAUGUAGUAUUUGAACGGACACUUGGGAAAACUAUACAUGAAGAGGAACCAAAAAAAUGAAUGGUUGCUAACUUAGCAGAAUGAAGUUUU